ACCUGAGCACACGUCCAGGCUGGACCCCAUUCAAGCUGAGCACACGUCCAGGCUGGACCCUAUUCAAGCUGAGCACACAUCCAGGACGGUUCAGAGCGCGCUCUGCACUAUUGUCCCUAACCCAGCGCAGCACAGGAAGGACCGGGUACCCUGGGAUAAGGCCAGGAUGCGCAGGCAACUCCAGCCAGGGGAAAUGAAGGCACUGGAGUCCUCCCAGAGCAGCACUGCAACCCGGGCGUGAAGGCAACCCCAAUCGGGUCUGCGUGGGACGCAUGCAGCGGGUGCGCUUCCCACGCAAGCGGGGCGAGGGCGGACAGUUCCUCCCGCUGCUCCCAGGAUCACAACCCGCGGCCGGUUACCCCUACGCACCUACGCACCCGGCCUGCAGGUCCCACUCGGUUAGCACAGAGCUGCAUCCCAGUUAAGCACAAGGACGGCCCCUUGGCCCAUCAGACAGCCCCUCGCCCUCUGCCCAUCCCGGCCGCCGCCUGCGCAGCUAUCCAGAGGGAUGCAGCCAGGACACUCCCGUACAGGUUCUGGUGGGGAAACACGGUUUCAUCUCACUUGGGAAUCUACUGAAGAGAUGGACCACGGUUGCCUGUCAGGCUUAACCUCUGGGAGAACUCCUACUACUUGGCAGAGGGGCCCACUGCUCACGCCCUCACUGACAGGGCCAGUUUGUCCGCUUCUGCAGAGCAGCCUGGGAUUUGAUGACGACAGAAUGGCUGCAGAGCCCUGGAGAUGGUGCUACCUUAAGUGGAGACUGACUGGUCUUCUGUGCAUCUAGCCUAGUGUUGAAGAAGACGGACCAGGCUGAGCACUUGCAGCACCCAGGUCCGAGUUCCUGUCCUGUCUGUGUAGGACUUCAUCCUGAAGAGGUGACCAGUGGGCCGUUCACACAGGAGCUUUUGAGGACGUUCACGCAAGCACUGGUGGGAACGAAGUAGGAAACGUCCACGUGGAGAAGGUGCACACGUGAAGAGGACGCUCCUAAACGGAGAGGCUUUCCUCUUUAGGCUCUGCUCUGGGGACACGGCUCUCCUAGGUAAGAGUAAGUAAAGGUCAUCUUGUUAAUGUCGCCAUGAAUCAUCACCAGCCAAUCUCCUGGACGUGCCCUGCAACUGCUGCACAGUGUGCCUGGCUGAACUGCCCCCGCCUGGCUCUGGGCAGGUCCCAGGCUGGGGCUCCGCCCACUCUGCAGGGACCUGGAUGGGACCUCCUGCUCUGGCGCCCCCAUGUGGUUUCCUUUCAACAUGGCCCUGACCCACCUAAGCUCCCAGCCCCAGGCACAGGAGGGGUCCCCUGGGUCACAGGGGCCCUGUGGCCUCCAUCAGACCCUCCCUGGCCUCUCCCUGCCCAGCCAUCUCUUCUGUUUCUGCCUGCCCAUGUGGAAGGCUCUGGGUGCCCCGGGCCUCCCUGCGCCCUUCCACCCGCUGCACAGGGUCCUUAGGUUUGUGUUCCCUUAGCAUUGCCCUGGGCGGCUCCCGGACCGUGCUGCGCUCCCUCCCUGGUGUCCCUUAGACACUGAAGCUGUGUCUGGCUCAUUGCAGCUGCUUAACAUUUCCUGAACAAAUACACCGUGGU
Molecule: long non-coding RNA, 1584 nt
Organism: Ictidomys tridecemlineatus (thirteen-lined ground squirrel)
Lineage: Eukaryota; Metazoa; Chordata; Mammalia; Rodentia; Sciuridae
Source: RefSeq, a predicted model, not a curated record